RNAcentral lists this ribosomal RNA (460 nucleotides) under uncultured bacterium. Its description in RNAcentral is "partial 16S ribosomal RNA". It matches the Rfam family "Bacterial small subunit ribosomal RNA", at positions 338 to 795 of the family's 1533-position model. The record is from RNAcentral.
CCUACGGGAGGCAGCAGUGAGGAAUAUUGGUCAAUGGGCGCGAGCCUGAACCAGCCAAGUAGCGUGAAGGAUGACUGCCCUACGGGUUGUAAACUUCUUUUAUAAAGGAAUAAAGUGAGUCUCGUGUGCCUCUUUGUAUGUACUUUAUGAAUAAGGAUCGGCUAACUCCGUGCCAGCAGCCGCGGUAAUACGGAGGAUCCGAGCGUUAUCCGGAUUUAUUGGGUUUAAAGGGAGCGUAGGUGGGUUGUUAAGUCAGUUGUGAAAGUGUGGGGCUCAACCGUAAAAUUGCAAUUGAUACUGGCAGUCUUGAGUACAGGUGAGGUAGGCGGAAUUCGAGGUGUAGCGGUGAAAUGCGUAGAUAUCACGAAGAACUUCGAUUGCGAAGGCAGCUUACUAAACUGCCACUGACAUUGAUGAUCGAAAGUGUGGGUAUCAAACAGGAUUAGAUACCCGGGUAGUC